Molecule: ribosomal RNA, 497 nt
Filed under: uncultured bacterium
Lineage: Bacteria
Description: partial 16S ribosomal RNA
Rfam family: Bacterial small subunit ribosomal RNA
Source: RNAcentral
GACGAACGCUGGCGGCGUGCCUAAUACAUGCAAGUAGAACGCUGAAGCUUGGUGCUUGCACCGAGCGGAUGAGUUGCGAACGGGUGAGUAACGCGUAGGUAACCUGCCUGGUAGCGGGGGAUAACUAUUGGAAACGAUAGCUAAUACCGCAUAAGAGUAGAUGUUGCAUGACAUUUGCUUAAAAGGUGCAAUUGCAUCACUACCAGAUGGACCUGCGUUGUAUUAGCUAGUUGGUGAGGUAACGGCUCACCAAGGCAACGAUACAUAGCCGACCUGAGAGGGUGAUCGGCCACACUGGGACUGAGACACGGCCCAGACUCCUACGGGAGGCAGCAGUAGGGAAUCUUCGGCAAUGGACGGAAGUCUGACCGAGCAACGCCGCGUGAGGGAAGAAGGUUUUCGGAUCGUAAAGCUCUGUUGCAAGAGAAGAACGAGUGUGAGAGUGGAAAGUUCACACUGUGACGGUAUCUUACCAGAAAGGGACGGCUAACUACGUG